CUGGCGUGUACCACCCGGGAGCGGGGUACACUGGCUUGUCAUCCCUUUGUCUACCGUACCGCGUUGCUUCCAUGGUGAGCCAGCCGGUAUCACCGGCCUCGCCGGGCUCCUGGCGUUCGUUCAGGCGCCCGGUCGGGAGUGCCCCAUGGGUAGGAUAACAGAAAACUCUGAGAACGUGUGGUCUGAUCAAAUCGGCUUCUGGGGGAAAUUAUAUCA
This 216-nucleotide unclassified non-coding RNA is filed under the name uncultured fungus. RNAcentral's name for it is "sequence contains ITS1". Lineage: Eukaryota; Fungi. The record is from RNAcentral.